RNAcentral lists this unclassified non-coding RNA (377 nucleotides) under uncultured bacterium. RNAcentral's name for it is "contains 16S-23S intergenic spacer region". The record is from RNAcentral.
UCCGGUUUGUCACCGGCAGUCUCAUUAGAGUGCCCUUGCGUAGCAACUAAUGAUAAGGGUUGCGCUCGUUGCGGGACUUAACCCAACAUCUCACGACACGAGCUGACGACAGCCAUGCAGCACCUGUGCACGAGUCCCGAAGGAGGCCCCUGGUUUCUCAAGAGUUUCCCGUGCAUGUCAAGCCUAGGUAAGGUUCUUCGCGUUGCGUCGAAUUAAACCACAUGCUCCACCGCUUGUGCGGGCCCCCGUCAAUUCCUUUGAGUUUCAGCCUUGCGGCCGUACUCCCCAGGCGGGGCACUUCAUGCGUUAGCUACGGUACCAAGGAAUCCGUCGAUAGAACCCCACACCUAGUGCCCAACGUUUACGGCGUGGACUAC